RNAcentral lists this ribosomal RNA (467 nucleotides) under uncultured bacterium. RNAcentral describes it as "partial 16S ribosomal RNA". It matches the Rfam family "Bacterial small subunit ribosomal RNA", at positions 28 to 507 of the family's 1533-position model. The record is from RNAcentral.
GAUGAACGCUGGCGGCGUGCUUAACACAUGCAAGUCGAACGGAAAGGCCUCUGCUUGCAGGGGUACUCGAGUGGCGAACGGGUGAGUAACACGUGGGUGAUCUGCCCUGCACUUCGGGAUAAGCCUGGGAAACUGGGUCUAAUACCGGAUAGGACAAUGGUUUGGAUGCUGUUGUGGAAAGUUUUUCGGUGUGGGAUGAGCUCGCGGCCUAUCAGCUUGUUGGUGGGGUAAUGGCCUACCAAGGCGUCGACGGGUAGCCGGCCUGAGAGGGUGUACGGCCACAUUGGGACUGAGAUACGGCCCAGGCUCCUACGGGAGGCAGCAGUGGGGAAUAUUGCACAAUGGGCGCAAGCCUGAUGCAGCGACGCCGCGUGGGGGAUGACGGCCUUCGGGUUGUAAACUCCUUUCGCUAGGGACGAAGCGUUUUUGUGACGGUACCUGGAGAAGAAGCACCGGCUAACUACGUG